Non-coding RNA from Schistosoma curassoni, 45 nucleotides. NCBI's taxonomy places the organism in Eukaryota, Metazoa, Platyhelminthes, Trematoda, Strigeidida, Schistosomatidae. The record is from Rfam.
AUUCAGCUGACGAGUUCUAAAUAGAAUGAAACGCAUAUCCUGAAU